CCCUUCUGCUCCUUGGCCAGGGGGCACAGCUUGGGCCGUGGCUGCCCGCUGGCACCGGUGGGCCUGCAAUGCCCCCUUCCCCUCCACCCCCCCAGCCCUGCCCCUCAGCUGGCACGGCAGGCCCGGAGCAGGCCCUGGGGACGGCCCCCACGGACACCCGGCCCUGCCAGGUGCUCACCGCUGCUCACGCUUGCUCUCUCCUUCCUCUCCAGUGUGCAUGCUGUGCCGCCGGGCACAGGUCAACCCGGACAUCUGCGGGCAGACAUUUGCCUGUGGUGGGCUCUGUGCCCACCAGUUCUGCUUGUUCUUUGCCAAUGGCCUUUUGGAAUGGAGAAGCCCAGUGGGGGAAAUUUUUGGCUUCUCCAUUGAUGCCAUCCAGCGCACAAUCCAGCUGGCAGACCAGAAGCACUGCUUUGUCUGUGGCGGGAGGGGAGCUUCCAUCAGCUGCGCGGAGACCGGCUGUGAGCGCAGCUUCCACCUGCCCUGCGCCGAGGACGGGGAAUGCGUCACCCAAUACUUUGGGCAGCACAGGUCCUUCUGCUGGGAGCAUCGCCCUCGGCAGGCAGCGGAGGCAGCUCCAAUGCAGAACACCAUCUGCGUCAUCUGCCUGGAGCCUGUGGGGGACAGCACGUCCUACCACACCGUGGUGUGCCCGGUGUGCAAACAGGCCUGGUUCCACCGGGGCUGCAUCAGGGUAGGAGCCCUCCCCUCGCCCUGUGGGCACGGCCGGUGCUCAGCAGCACCCAGCCCCGCUCACGCUCACGCUUGUGCUUCUCCUGCAGAAACAUGCCCUGCACGCUGCCACCACACGCUUCUUCUGCCCUGUCUGCGGGGAAAAAGCGAUAUUCCGAUCCCAAAUGAGCACACUGGGGAUCCAAAUUCCAGUCAGACGACUAUCUUGGUGGGACGACGCAGCAUACCAGCCGCUGCAAGAAAGGCACAGGCGCUGUGAUGCCAGCAUGUGCAUCUACCUAGGAGGCAGGGAGAGGGCACAGGAAGAGGGGUGAGUGACCUCUACUGUCCUCUGGGGCUCUGCGUGGGAUCUCAGCCUCACCACAGGCUGGGGGUGCAAGGACUGAGCACCAGAG
RNAcentral lists this long non-coding RNA (1088 nucleotides) under Gallus gallus (chicken). Its description in RNAcentral is "long non-coding RNA NONGGAT012048". Lineage: Eukaryota; Metazoa; Chordata; Aves; Galliformes; Phasianidae. The record is from RNAcentral.